Molecule: long non-coding RNA, 133 nt
Organism: Etheostoma spectabile (orangethroat darter)
Lineage: Eukaryota; Metazoa; Chordata; Actinopteri; Perciformes; Percidae
Exons: 4
Source: RefSeq, a predicted model, not a curated record
UGUGCAUGUGUUUACUUUUAACUAAUUCUUUACUGUUCAUCUGUGGAAUUAGAAAAAGCUUAUUUAAUAAACUAAAGCAUUUACAUUUAGAAUAGGGCAAUCAAUAGGUUUGUUCUAGAUGCAAUGAUGCAUG